CAUGCAGAUUCAGAGAUGACUUCUCUGCCAACACAAGAUGUGUUUGAUGCUGCCCCUGAAACUCCUGACCCAAAUUCAACAACUGGACAGGACACAGGACUCAUUACUAGACUGGCCAGCUCACUGUUUCCUUUCUCUCUGUUCUUCCGAAAAAGUUCUGCAAAAUAAAAAUUUCAAGCCAUAAUUUCUUAACUCUUGCAG
Myxocyprinus asiaticus (Chinese sucker) is the source of this 201-nucleotide long non-coding RNA. RefSeq lists it as uncharacterized. NCBI's taxonomy places the organism in Eukaryota, Metazoa, Chordata, Actinopteri, Cypriniformes, Catostomidae. The transcript is spliced from 3 exons. The record is from RefSeq and is a predicted model, not a curated record.